AUUCAUUACAUUUUUUUGUUGUACAAGCCUGGAGUUUCACUCAAGACGGAGCCUGUAACAGACAGGGCUUUGCAAUCGUCCAAACUACAGCCUCAAACGGUACCUCCGACUACACAGAGGAGUUCGGAACACCAAACCAAUGCAGCUUUCUGCUUAUUAUUGUCUGAAAGUCAACGCGAAACCAUGAGGGAGCGGCUUAGGCCGCACAGCCUGGAACUGGCAGUGAUGGUCCUCACUCCUCCCCGGGGCUGGCUGGUGACGUUGGACCUUUGAUUGGACAAGCUGGCCCACAAUCAAGUAGAAAGACCCAAGGCAGAAGGAUGGCGGGCAUCAAGAUCCUCUUCCCUAUGAGGAGCAGGCUAUAUAUCCAGCAAAGGAGGUUCAAGGCUAUUCCUGAAGCAAUGGGAAGACAGGAAUAGAGCAAAAAUCUGGAAGCAACAUUGCAGUCUGCUCUUCCCAGAUAUGCAUAAAGGUCUGAAGAUUCUACGAUCAUACAGGCUCGAUUACUAUGCCUGCAAGCCUAGAGCAUACAAACAUCUGCCAGAUUCACGCAGGACCUGCAGAUUCAACCUUCCUGACCUCAAGGAAACCCCAAGCCGAGACCCUACCAGCCCAGGAAUGAAACCUGACCUUGCAGUGAUGUGACCCUGAGGAGGCCUGACCGGCCAGGAACCUUGAGGGUGACUGGACAACGUGGAAGCCCAUCAGAACUGACUCCAAGAAGCCCCGGAGUGCCAGUGGCUGCAAGUGGUGCUAAGGACUCUAUCAAGUACACACAAUUAUCUGGGUGCAACUGACUUCCAUCACCAACACCCAGAAUGGACGAGAAGCAGGAAAUGUGGGAGACAUGCUGGCCUGUAGGUGAAACAACAUGGCUUCAAGUCCCCUCUCCCCAGCAUACUCCUGGCAAACACCCAUGCUACUGAAAACAACAUUAGAGUUAGACUUACCUUCCAGAGGGAACUAAGUGACUGUUGUCUGCUCUGUUUUACAGAGAUAUGGCUCACUCCUAUUACACCUGACUGUGUCUUACAACCUGAGGAUUUCUGUAUAUAUCGCAUCGAUUCUAUGGCAUCCUUGGGAAAGGCAUGGGGCAAUGGGGUCUGCCUCCAAAUCAACGCCUCCUGAUGCUCAGAUGUGGUGAUUCUGGUGAGUUGCUGCUCCUCAGACCUAGAACAUCUAACAACUGCCAUCCCUACUACGUGCCAUGCAAGUUCACCUCCGCUAUCCUUACAGCAGUCUACAUCCUAUCCCAUACAGAAGUGAAGAAUGCACUUGAUAAAAUAUACAUCGCUACAAAUAGACUUGAGACAGAAUACCCAGAGGCCUUGUUCAUCAUAGCCGGUAACUUCAACCAGGCCAACCUAAAGAAUUUGCAACCAAUUUACCACCAUGUCUCCUGCCACACCCCAGAGGUCAAAACAUCCUUCAUCACUGCUAUGCAACUAUCAAAGAUGCCUACUCUCCCUACCCUGUCUGCAUUUUGGAAAAACAGAUUGCAAUACUGUGUUUGUCCUCUGGCAUAUAAGCACAAGUUGAAACAUGAGGACCCAGUACAGAAAGUAGUACAGUGCUGGUAUGAGAGAGCGGAAGAGCUUCUAUGGGACUGCUUGGAAUUGGUGGACUAGUCCACAUUCAAUCACUCAGCAGCCAGCCUAAAUGAGUAUGCCACUACCAUUACAGACUUCAUUAGCUCGUGUGCCAAAGAAUGCCAUGGAUGCAUUGGGCAAUCCAUUGCCUACUGAAUUCUAGCUGUGUGGCAUUCAAAUGAGAAGACUCUGGCUUUUACAAGAAACCCAUAAGGUCAUUAAAAAUGCCAAGAGGCAAAACCGGACUCAGCUAGGGACACAAACUAACCAUACGGACACCUGCCAUUUUGUGGCAAGGCCAACAUGACAAAAUGGUCUACAAAUGGAAGCAGAACAGAAUUGCAGACAAAUACAUCCCCCCCAAUGUGCAAAAUGCAUUUUGUGCUCGGUUCCAAUAGAAGGCCAGUGAAACAAUGUCACUUGCCCCAAUAACCUCCGAUGUACCUGUUCCCCUCAGUUAACACUGCAGAUGUCCGAUCGGCCUUUUUCGAGAGUGAACCCACGGAAAAUGACUGGCCCGGAUUGAGUCCCCAGCCAUGCACUCAGAUCCAGUGUGGGAAAAGCUGGUGAGAGUAUUUGCUGAUAUCUUUAACCUCUCCUUAUUACAAUCUGAAGUUCCCACCUGCUUCAAGACUGCCAUCAUCACAGUGCCAAAGAAAACUUAUACAACUUGUCUCAAUAAUUACUGCCUGGUGGUUCUGAUCUUCACUGUUAUUAAAGUACUUCAAAAGGUUAAUCACGGCUUACAUCAACUCUAGCCUUCCAAACUACAUGAACCCCUUGCAAUUUACCUACUAUUACAACAUGUCCACUGCAAACGCCAUCUCCCUGGCACUAUUCUCAUCCAUGGAAUGUCUGGAUAAUAAGGAUACCUAUGUCAGGCUCCUAUAUACUGACUACAGCUUCGCCUGCAAUACCAUCAUUCCAAGCAAACUAAUUUCUAACCUUCAAGACCUAGGUCUCCGCAUCACCCUCUGCAACUGGAUCCUUGACUUCCUGAUCCACAGACUGCAGUCAUUGAGAAUGGGCAACAACACUUUGAGUAUGACAAUCCUCAACACUGGCACCCUGCAAGGCUGCGUACUCAGCCUAUUUCUAUUCUCCGCGUACACUCAUGACUGAAUGGCCAAAUUUUGUCCUAACUCCAUCUACAAGUCCAAUGACAACAUGAUUGUUGUAGGCUGGAUCUCAAACAAUGAUGAGACAGAAUUCGGGAAAUAGAGAGUGUGGUGGCAUGGUGUGAAGGUAACAAUCUUUCCCUCAACAUCAGAAAAACUAAAGAACUGGUCAUUGACUUAAGGAAGCAAGGUAGAGGACACACCCCAGUCAAUGGAGCUGAGGUGGAAAUGGUUGAGAGUGUCAAGAUUCUGAGAGUGAUGAACACCAUCCUGGUCCAUCCAGUGAUGCAACAUGCAAGAAAGCACAAUAAUGCUCUACUUUCUCAGAAGGCUCAGGAAAUUCGCAUGUCCAUAAAAACUCUUAGCAAUUUUUAUAGAUGCACCAUAGAAAGCAUUCUCCCUUCUCUCUGCCUCAGGAAAGCAGCCAUCAUAAUCAAAUAUCCCUCUUGCCCCAGUUAUAAUCUUUUCUAACCUCCUCCAUUGGGCAGAAGAUACAGAAACUUAAAAACACCCAACAGAUUGAAGAAUUGCUUCUUCCCCACUGUCAUUAGACUUCUGAACAGACCUUUCAAAUUUUAAAUUUAAUGUUGAUCUCUCUCUUUCAUGUACUUCGUCUAUAGCUGUAACAUCAUAUUCUUCAUACUGUUCUAUUAACCUUCGGCACUUCAGUAUGACUUGUCUGUACUACUCACAAAACAAAAUUUUUCACUGUACCUAGGUACAUGUGACAUGAAUAAAUCAAAUCCAGAUCAGUCAGGACAUUCCACUCCUUACCAAAACAAAAUCCUGCGAUCACCUCUGGUUCUUUGGCAUUGACAAUGAAUGCAGCCUUUCAUAAUAUGAGCAAAUGGGACAAAGUAUUAAAGAUAUAAAGACUUUGUCACUCUUUACCAACUCAAACCACUGUGCAUAUUAUGACACUGUGGUGAGAAUGCAGCUACUGUAAUAGUGUCAAAUGUGAAAAUGGCCUACAUUUUUCAAAAAAAUGGUCAUGCUUGGUUUUAGAUUGCUGCUGUUCAUUAUUCUGUCAUUCACACUUCUGGAUAGUUUGCUUCUUUACUUACCCUGAGGCUACUUCCUUUGGCUCUGGAGUGGAUACUCAUGAUUUAUAGGAUCCCAUCUUCCACCCUAUCACAGACAGACACAACUUUGUUUUGUUCGUGUUCUCUUGUGCCCACUUUUAACUGACCAAAAUGCUUUUACAUUUCUAAUUUUUUGCUAGGUUUGCUGAAAGGGCAUCAAACUGAAAUGUUAACUGUUUCUGUCUCCCCAAAUCUGAUAUUUUAUUGGAAAAUCACAUAGCUAUUUUGAAUUUGGGAUCAUUAUUGAA
Molecule: long non-coding RNA, 4037 nt
Organism: Hemiscyllium ocellatum (epaulette shark)
Lineage: Eukaryota; Metazoa; Chordata; Chondrichthyes; Orectolobiformes; Hemiscylliidae
Exons: 4
Source: RefSeq, a predicted model, not a curated record